UCGCAACUGUUUUCAGUAUUUGAGCGAAACGUUUCCCGCGAUGAGUGAAGCUAAAUUAAAAGAAGGGAUUUUCGAUGAAUCUCAAAUUCGGAAUUUAUUUUCAGACGGUAGUUGUCUUGAUGAAAUGAGUGAUAUUGAAAAUGCUACUUGACUAAGUUUUAAAAAUGUAUCUCAGGCCUUCUUAGGAAAUACGAAAAAUGAGAAGUACCAAAACUUAGUUGACGAGUUGUUGGUAAGUUAUAAAAAUUUACGUUGCUUGAUGAAUCUUAAAAUGCACUUCCUACACUCUCACCGCGACUAUUUCCCUCAAAACCUCGGAGACUAUAGUGAAGAACAAGGUGAAGAACGAUUCCAUCAAGAUAUAAGCGAAAUGGAGAGUUAGUAUCAAGGGAGGUGGAACGUCAACAUAAUGGCAGAUUUGUGUUGGACGCGGAAGAGAGAUAUAAAGAAAGAAAAUAUGAAGAGAAAGAAAAAUGCACCGCACCGAAUAUUUGAGGAAAAAAGAGUUCGUCAUACGAGAAGAACGUGUCAACUCAAGUACUACCCUACCAGCUAGUAGAGUUUGUGGAUGAGGUUGACGUAAAUGGCUUGCGAUCAAUUGAAUGUGUACUAAAUUCUUGGAUCACAUAUGACAUGGGACUUGGGUCAUGCGUUGUGCGGUAUAUGCUACCUUCUUACAAGAGAGAGGAUAAACGCCUGAUUCAAGAACUAAUUUUUAAAAAAAGCUGAGGCACCGGAAAGUUGGUCUGUGUUUCGAUUUGACUUGAAAGGAAACGCAAGAACACAUGCAGAGGGGUUGAAGCGGAUUAAACUGUCCAAUCAAGAAUUUGUCUACACAACCAUGUCGGAGGACAACGGAGUGAAACAAUCUCAAGCUAUAACCGAUGUACUGAAAAAGAAAAAGUGUGACCAGACCGAGGAAAUAAAAAAAUUAUUGAGCCAGUGAAAUUUGUCAGAUACAGAAGAGGACAACUCGAAUAAUGCUGAUUUGUAAUCUGCUUGCGACAGAAGUUCUUCAGACUCUGAUGCCAUUCCUGCCAAGUUUCGUGCAAGAAAUAAGAAAGUUUUUAACAAGCCUUUGGUUGAAGUUAGAACUGGACAAAAAAAUUUAACUGCUGCGCAAAAAAGUAUUGGUCACUCCAUCAACUCGUGACGGUGACAGUCUGCAGCAUAAUAAAAAUGAAAGGUCGCUUAUAGAAGGGAUCGAAAAUAUCGAGAACACUAUGCUUGAUGGGAAUGGUAAUAAGUUGCUUUGCCACACUCUCACGAAAUUAAUGGCGACCGUGGCAAUUCAAGGUGAAGAAAUUAAAUAACUUCGAUGUAUGAUUGAACGUUCGAUUAAAAAAGUAUUUGAAUCUCAUAUAACGUCGGACAGCUUUUUACAAAAGUAUCAGAUCCAGAAAAUGAAUUCAGCUGAUGAUUUUCUAGCAUUCGAUCAACGUUUAAACGAGGACAAAGAGUUCAGCCAAGAUUUCAAUGUCGCAAUGGAAUGCAUUGUAGAGUUGAACAUGAAGAGAACGGUGAAUGGAAUCAUCAAAAGGGACCGCAUUUUAUGGAAAACUUUUCGAAUUCAUUCGAUUCAUACAUUCGAAAGAAGAAAACGUUACAGAAAAAAACGUUCUAUCAAAGCCUUUCGGUUUGCCUCACCAUGCAAAAGAUUGGGAUGGAGGGCGUAAAUUGCGUACGCUGUAAGCAAAAAAAAGAAGGAAAUACGCAUUCUUAAAAAAAACCAAAGUCUGAUUUCAUUUAAGGUUUAAUUUAACGAGUUGAAGAACUAAGAUGUUUGAGUUCCGAUUUAAGUGAUUUCAAGUAUCUUUAACGUUUUACCAAAGACAGUGAAAUUUUGGUUGUUUAAUUUUUAUACAGCAUCAAGCUAUUUUCAUUUCUAUUUCAGCUUUAGAAUAAUUUUGAAUUCGAGCGUUAUUAAACAAAAGAAGCUUUAAUAGAUAUAAUUAAUUAUAACUCAACUAUU
This 1972-nucleotide unclassified non-coding RNA is filed under the name Venturia canescens. RNAcentral describes it as "uncharacterized LOC122406379, transcript variant X6". The record is from RNAcentral. Lineage: Eukaryota; Metazoa; Arthropoda; Insecta; Hymenoptera; Ichneumonidae.